AUUGAACGCUGGCGGCAGGCCUAACACAUGCGAGUCGAACGGUAACAGGAAGAAGCUUGCUUCUUUGCUGACGAGUGGCGGACGGGUGAGUAAUGUCUGGGAAACUGCCUGAUGGAGGGGGAUAACUAUUGGAAACGGUAGCUAAUACCGCAUAACGUCGCAAGACCAAAGAGGGGGACCUUCGGGCCUCUUGCCAUCGGAUGUGCCCAGAUGGGAUUAGCUAGUAGGUGGGGUAACGGCUCACCUAGGCGACGAUCCCUAGCUGGUCUGAGAGGAUGACCAGCCACACUGGAACUGAGACACGGUCCAGACUCCUACGGGAGGCAGCAGUGGGGAAUAUUGCACAAUGGGCGCAAGCCUGAUGCAGCCAUGCCGCGUGUAUGAAGAAGGCCUUCGGGUUGUAAAGUACUUUCAGCGGGGAGGAAGGGAGUAAAGUUAAUACCUUUGCUCAUUGACGUUACCCGCAGAAGAAGCACCGGCUAACUCCGUG
Molecule: ribosomal RNA, 490 nt
Filed under: uncultured bacterium
Lineage: Bacteria
Description: partial 16S ribosomal RNA
Rfam family: Bacterial small subunit ribosomal RNA
Source: RNAcentral